CAGCCGCCACGGUAAUACGGAGGGAGCUAGCGUUGUUCGGAAUUACUGGGCGUAAAGCGCACGUAGGCGGCUUUGUAAGUUAGAGGUGAAAGCCUGGAGCUCAACUCCAGAAUUGCCUUUAAGACUGCAUCGCUUGAAUCCGGGAGAGGUGAGUGGAAUUCCGAGUGUAGAGGUGAAAUUCGUAGAUAUUCGGAAGAACACCAGUGGCGAAGGCGGCUCACUGGACCGGCAUUGACGCUGAGGUGCGAAAGCGUGGGGAGCAAACAGGAUUAGAUACCCCCGUAGUCCCUGUCUCUUAUAC
This 301-nucleotide ribosomal RNA is filed under the name uncultured bacterium. Its description in RNAcentral is "partial 16S ribosomal RNA". It matches the Rfam family "Bacterial small subunit ribosomal RNA", at positions 509 to 807 of the family's 1533-position model. The record is from RNAcentral.